AAAUAGAGGAGCUCAGAGCGCAUCUUGGCAAGCAGUCCCUGGCUGACAAGUCCCAGACCCUGUGAAGUUGAAGCCCGCAUCUUGCUACGAGAGAGGCGGCUGGUGGCUUGGGAGCCCAGGAGCUGUGGCCAAGCUGACUGGGUCCUGUUCUCCGUCAGCCCUCUCCCUUCCUCCUCCUCCCGGUGCCCUCUGCCCACCCCGGUUCACAGCAGUUUCAAAUUAAAGUGUCUGUCAUGUUCCGUGGU
Long non-coding RNA from Talpa occidentalis (Iberian mole), 245 nucleotides. RefSeq lists it as uncharacterized. Lineage: Eukaryota; Metazoa; Chordata; Mammalia; Eulipotyphla; Talpidae. The record is from RefSeq and is a predicted model, not a curated record. The transcript has 3 exons.